AUUGAAAGUCAUUUGGUUCUCUAAUUACUAAAUCAGACUCCAAAUUGUGCUCCAUGGGGCUGAGGCAAGAAGUUGUCAAGCUAUUUGGCCUUGGAAUUCAGUCAUCGAGAGAGCUGCCAACUGAGCUCCGCCUUCAACAGGAGAGUGAGUUUGCUUCACUCUUCUCUGACCUCCAGCACAGAAGAUAUUUAAGUGUUUACUGAAAGGUUCCUUGCCAUGAGAUUUGAAGAAUAAAAAGAAGCUUUAAAGCACGCUGUUGGUUCUCAAGGACCUUUCAGUCUCGGUAGACGGACAAGGUUUCUUCGUAUAACAUACAAGAAUUACAGAAUUCCAAAAGGCAGAAGAACUGACCUGCAGCUCCAGAUGUCAGGAGCAAACAUGUGAAGCUAAAUUCAUCAGGAACUUCGGAGUGUUGAAAGUGCUAUCAGGAUGAAAACCGCCACCAGCUGCUGCUAAGAAGCUGUCAUCAGUCAGCAUCUUGGGACACUUCCAAACCUAACUUGCUGGGCAGUCCAAAGCAAUGGGUGUUCUGUUUAUGCUAUAAUUCUUAAGAGUUGAGAAAGUAGCAAUUAGUGGGAAAACUAUAGCUGAUGUUUGUACUGGAAGAAGUCCAGUGGGGUAUCUUGUCGAGAUAGCAGUUAUUUUUUUAAUAUUUGAAGGCUCAGUCCUGCUAGAGUUUGUUGUUGGGGCCCAAGAUCAUCAGCAGAAUGACAGAGCAGUUCCAUCUAUUCUAUUCCCUGUAAAUUCGUCGUCCUUAUUUGAUCUAUUUAAUAUAGACUUGUGUGGGGCCUACAUCACCGGCUUUGGGAUAAUUUUUGGAAUUAUCAGCACUGUCCUUUGAUAGUAACACUAUUGAUGCCAGAGCACUCUGCAGUUUGCCGGAAGGAAACAACAGAAGGUGCUGAAGAUUUUUACUGACAAUACAAAUUGGAGACUUAUCUGAAUUCUCCUACCAGAACAGAGACCUCUCAAAGGAUGCAAGGAAACUAAAAAUGAAACAAAAGAAUGCUUACACAUCUUCAAAGUUUCGACUCUGUAAUCAAUUUGGAUUCAUGAAAUGUAUUCCUAUACCUUCAAGAGAAACUCUUCCCUAACUCAGGAGGUCUUUGGCAGCCUGGACUAUGCCUUGCCCACCCUGAUGACUGUAUCUCUCUCUAGGUGGGCUUGUGCUGGGUAAUUGGCUUGCCUGCUUCCUUGUACUUUAAGAUGUUUGUCGGGCUGGUACUUUUCUCUUUGUACUGCAAGUAAAAAACCCAUAGGGCCCAAUUACUGGAGAUGCCUCUUUUCUCUAAUAGCAACAUCAGUGCCCAGAUCCUGGUUUCUUAAUACCAAGAAUGGGACUUCUGUUUAUUUUUAUUUGCUUCUAAGAUGAAUCCUUUAAAACUGAGGAACUGCAGUUCCUUCGGAAAAUAUGUCACUGUUGCCUACUGCCAUGAAAACAAUGAAAUAAAAGGGAAGCUAAGCUCUAAGUGGGUUUUGCUUUUUUAUUAAACAAUGAAUAUGACCUCAAAUAAUUUAUCCUGCAUUAUUUUAGUCAUAGUAAGUAAUAGCAUUUCCCCGACUUUGCAAGUUGAAGAUGUGAUUCUAUUACGCAUCUCAUCAUUGAAGAUCAUUAUUCUACUCAGUGAUGAUUCAGAUGCCACAGUAGAAAAGAAUUCUUAGAGCACAACUGUUAAUGAAGAUAAAAGCUAUUAGCUAAAAAUGAAAUUAGUUGGAAAAUUUUCAGCUCCAUGUUACUUCAUCUCCUGGUAUUUGUCUUAACCCAUUUUGAAAGUCUAACCAGGGACUCCUGUGUGGCUCAGCAGUCGAGAGUCUGCCUUUGGCUCAGGGUGUGAUCCCAGAAUCCGGGGAUUGAGUCCCACAUCAGGGACUGAGUCCCACAUCAGGCUCCCUUCAGGGAGCCUGCUUCUCCCUCUGCCUGUGUCUCUGCCUCUCUCUCUGUGUCUCUUAUGAAUAAGUAAAUAAAAUCUUAAAAAAAAAAAAGUCUAA
Long non-coding RNA from Nyctereutes procyonoides (raccoon dog), 1989 nucleotides. RefSeq lists it as uncharacterized. Lineage: Eukaryota; Metazoa; Chordata; Mammalia; Carnivora; Canidae. The transcript has 4 exons. The record is from RefSeq and is a predicted model, not a curated record.